Molecule: long non-coding RNA, 226 nt
Organism: Ornithodoros turicata
Lineage: Eukaryota; Metazoa; Arthropoda; Arachnida; Ixodida; Argasidae
Exons: 3
Source: RefSeq, a predicted model, not a curated record
AUGACGUGUGCCUGUAACUGGAACUUAGCCUGAUUGAGAAAAAAAGCCCCUCCAUCCAUGAGAAUGAGCUGACUGCUGCCAUGACGUGCCUCUAACUGGAACUUAGCCUGAUUGAGAAAAAAAGCCCCUCCAUCCAUGAGAAUGAGCUGACUGCUGCCAUGACAUGUGCCUCUAACUGGAACUUAGCCUGAUUGAGAAAAAAAGCCCCUCCAUCCAUGAGAACGAG